This 138-nucleotide small nucleolar RNA is filed under the name Labrus bergylta (ballan wrasse). Lineage: Eukaryota; Metazoa; Chordata; Actinopteri; Labriformes; Labridae. The record is from RNAcentral.
GUUGCACACCGUUAGAGCCCGGCGCUAUCCCGUCUGUGCAGUGUUGGGUGUAGGAUGUGUGCUAAAUGAACGAGCCUGACCUCUUUAGUUCCACUCUCUGAACUCAGAGGCAGUGGGGGUAGAGGUCUUGCCACACAA